CGGCGUUGAGACGUCUUGCCGGGCGGACGUUUUGUACCGUGUGAUAGCCGUAGUGACUACGUUUACGUGACAAAAGUGUUAAAGUAUUUACGAGUGAAGUGAUUUAGUGUUUGUGAUUUUAAAAAGGAUUUUUGUUCGAAAGGUGUUACAUAAGAUACGGGAGAGUUGUUUUCUUCAAGCAAGUCGAUCAAGGUACGCUACGAGUACAUAAUCCAUACAAAAAACAAAAUUACUAAUUGAGUU
Long non-coding RNA from Melitaea cinxia (Glanville fritillary), 243 nucleotides. RefSeq lists it as uncharacterized. The record is from RefSeq and is a predicted model, not a curated record. The transcript is spliced from 3 exons. Lineage: Eukaryota; Metazoa; Arthropoda; Insecta; Lepidoptera; Nymphalidae.